GUUUUUCUUUAAAAGAACACGAAACUGAGCUCGGUGAGCCUUUUGCUACAACAGUGCAGGGCUUCUGUCCAACACAGGAAACCAACCAGCAACAAAGCAGAGCUUCUCUAACACUGGGUCAUCUAGGUCUAUCAGGUUUUCUUCAACAACAGCAGAGUCUUUACAAACAUUGGUCAUUAAUACCAUACCUACCCAACACCACUUCAUCACCUCUGUUUCCUUCAUGCCAAUUAAAGUUUGAUCCACUCACCACUCUCCCCCACUGGGGACACUCUCUGCCACUUCAUCCAAGAUGCUCCAGAAUUCUUCUUUCUCUUCAAACUGACAUGCAGUUUCCAGGCAUUUGCACUGACAACAUCCAACAUCACCCCUUAAAUUUCUAGCUUCAACCUUGAUAUUAUCUGACACCUAUGGCUGGUCUUUUUAUCAAACAGAUGUAAGACUAAAAAAACAACAACUGUGUGAUACUGAGUGUUUAGAGCAGUCUGAAGUUUGAAUGUUGGGCUCAAAGGAAUUACUUUCAAAUACACUGACCACUUUAUUUACUUAAUUAUUAGUAUUUGAGCCUUUGGUCAUGUUUAGCAUAAACAUACACAAGUAGAAAGAAGAAGAACUUGUGACUGGAAAGAAGGAAAAGCAGAAUAGGUCCACUCAAAACAGAAUUAAUACUGAAUUUAAAAUAAAAUCAU
Oreochromis niloticus (Nile tilapia) is the source of this 689-nucleotide long non-coding RNA. RefSeq lists it as uncharacterized. The record is from RefSeq and is a predicted model, not a curated record. Lineage: Eukaryota; Metazoa; Chordata; Actinopteri; Cichliformes; Cichlidae. The transcript is spliced from 4 exons.